RNAcentral lists this ribosomal RNA (497 nucleotides) under uncultured bacterium. Its description in RNAcentral is "partial 16S ribosomal RNA". It matches the Rfam family "Bacterial small subunit ribosomal RNA", at positions 28 to 507 of the family's 1533-position model. The record is from RNAcentral.
GAUGAACGCUGGCGGCGUGCCUAAUACAUGCAAGUCGAGCGAACGGACGAGAAGCUUGCUUCUCUGAUGUUAGCGGCGGACGGGUGAGUAACACGUGGAUAACCUACAUAUAAGACUGGGAUAACUUCGGGAAACCGGAGCUAAUACCGGAUAAUAUUUUGAACCGCAUGGUUCAAAAGUGAAAGACGGUCUUGCUGUCACUUAUAGAUGGAUCCGCGCUGCAUUAGCUAGUUGGUAAGGUAACGGCUUACCAAGGCAACGAUGCAUAGCCGACCUGAGAGGGUGAUAGGCCACACUGGAACUGAGACACGGUCCAGACUCCUACGGGAGGCAGCAGUAGGGAAUCUUCCGCAAUGGGCGAAAGCCUGACGGAGCAACGCCGCGUGAGUGAUGAAGGUCUUCGGAUCGUAAAACUCUGUUAUUAGGGAAGAACAUAUGUGUAAGUAACUGUGCACAUCUUGACGGUACCUAAUCAGAAAGCCACGGCUAACUACGUG